RNAcentral lists this ribosomal RNA (54 nucleotides) under Fomes fomentarius. RNAcentral's name for it is "partial 28S ribosomal RNA". Lineage: Eukaryota; Fungi; Basidiomycota; Agaricomycetes; Polyporales; Polyporaceae. The record is from RNAcentral.
CUUUUAUGAACUCUGACCUCAAAUCAGGUAGGACUACCCGCUGAACUUAACAUA